GCCGGACGUGGUGACGCGCGCCUGUAGUCCCAGCUACUUGAGAGGCUGAGGCAGGAGAAUCACUUGAACCCAGGAGGCAGUGAUUGCAGUGAGCCGAGAUUGUGCCACUGCACUCCAGCCUGGGUGACAGAGUGAGACUCUGUCUCAA
Molecule: unclassified non-coding RNA, 148 nt
Organism: Pongo abelii (Sumatran orangutan)
Lineage: Eukaryota; Metazoa; Chordata; Mammalia; Primates; Hominidae
Rfam family: Metazoan signal recognition particle RNA
About the family: The signal recognition particle (SRP) is a universally conserved ribonucleoprotein. It is involved in the co-translational targeting of proteins to membranes.
Source: Ensembl